Molecule: long non-coding RNA, 1922 nt
Filed under: Sus scrofa (pig)
Lineage: Eukaryota; Metazoa; Chordata; Mammalia; Artiodactyla; Suidae
Description: lncRNA (ENSSSCG00070003586.1)
Source: RNAcentral
UUUGUGUCUAGCUCCUCUUAUUUAACCUGUGUUGAGGUUCAUUCAUAUAGUAUGUAUCAGUACUAUAUUCCUUUUUAGGGCUGAAUAAUAGUCUACAGUAUUCCAUUUGUUUACUCAUUUAUCAGUUUUUGGACGUUUGGGUUGUUUCUUUCUUUUGGCUAAGAUUACAGGUUUUUGUUUGAACAGCUGUUUCCAGUUCUUUGGGGGUAUAUAAGCAGGAAUAAGGUUGCUGGCUCAUACAGUAAUUCUUUGGUUAGCUUUCUGAUGAACUACCAAAUUAUUUUCCACUGAGGCUUACCUUUAUUACAUUCCUACCAGUACGAGGAUUCAUUCCAUUUUCUUUAUAUCUUCAUGAACACUUUUUAUUUUUUAAAGUCUAGCCAUCUGAGAAGGAUUUUAUCUUUAAAAUGCAUGAAUGAGCCACCCCUUAUUUGUAGUGAACACCUCAUUCCUUGAUACCCCAUCACAUUGUUGCUGAACAUGAUGAAAAGUUGAAGUGAAACUCAAAAGGCACACUGGACUGAACUGGAUUCCAUAAAAUCUAUGUCCAACAUCAUUCUGGUACAUUGCCUUCUAAAAAAGGCUUGCAGCUAUUAGGAGAAUCCCACUGAAUAUAUGUGUUUAAAAGCCCUUCUUUGGAGGUGUCUUUUGAGAGACACUUUUGAGAAUGAUGAGGACACCCCAUGCAUUCUUAUAUGAGAAUGUUCUCAUCACAGCUCAUUUUCUUUUGGUUUGACACGUUUGUACUUCUCCCCUUUUCCUUUUCAAUUUCCUUUAUUGCUUUUUUUUUUUUUUUUUUUAAGUUUAGCUCACGCUCCCAGGAAGAAGAUGUACCUGCUUGCUUUUGGCUUAGGCAGAGACUGUAGCAAAUGACUGGGAACCAAACAAGGGUAUAAGCAGGAUAUCUUCAGAUACUCUGAUUAUUCCCGCCCAUCCAUACAUAGUCAACAGUCCACUGUAAUUGGCCCUCAUUAAUAAUGCUUCAAAAUGCAAAUACACUUCAACCUUCAGCCUUAAAGGGCCAUUCCCACUCUUUUGGGUUAUGUCAUUUUUCUACCCUUAACAUACUGUAAUUGUUUUAUGAUUGGCAAGAUUUAGAAAGUUUUCUGUCAUAUCUGAUUUCAUAAAGUAGAGUAAGAAUGGACUCAGAAAUGUACUAACACGUUUGCACACACACAUGCCUUUAAUAAUAAUGGGAAGUAGAGUGAAGUGCAUUGCGAUCUGGAGAUUUUGAGUCUUUGUGAGCAUUUAAUUAUCAAGUACUGGUUGGUCAUGACUAAUCUGCUUGUGUUCCACUGACUCCAUCACUUAAUGCUGCAACCACUGUGCUGUUUCAUGAUUUAGCUGAAAGCAUUUUUCCUUUUCAAAGCUUGCCAGGUAAUUUUAAUGUUGGCUGUAAAUUCUUAUAGUUGUUCUGGAUACCCCCUAUAUGUGUUUUGGAAAUAUCCCAUUGGUAUCUUCAAUCAUAUACUUGAAUAGAACCUCAGACUGUUGUUUGUCCUAUUUGGUAACCCCGCCCCACCAAAUUGUUUGGUCUGGGGGGUGGGAUGACCUUUAGCAUGAGUAGUGUUUGUUUUUGAGAAGUCAUACAUUUUGAGUGUCGACUUUAAUACAAAUUCUUUCAACUGGUUUUAUAUCUGUGCAUGUAUUUCAUUUUAUAGCGAAAACCUUUCGUACAAGUAAAAUUUGUAAUUCUAAGUGGUUCAUUAUUUUUUUAAAUUGCAUUUAUGGCAGUUGAUCCUAACCUGUUUUAAUUUGAAGUUGUUUGUACCUUGGGUGCCUGGACAUAAAUUUCAUUCUAUUUUAUCAGAGGCAUAAACUAUUUCCUUUGGGUAACAGGCACAUUUGAGAAGGCAUUCGUUUUUUUUCACAUCUAAACAUUACCAUUAAAUAAAUUGACACUGUGGUGCUUUAAAUGGACA